CGAACGCUGGCGGCGUGCUUAACACAUGCAAGUCGAACGAGAAUCUGCGGAAAGAGGAUUCGUCCAAUUGAAGCAGAGGACAGUGGCGGACGGGUGAGUAACGCGUGAGGAACCUGCCUCAAAGAGGGGGACAACAGUUGGAAACGACUGCUAAUACCGCAUAAGCCCACGACCCGGCAUCGGGAAGAGGGAAAAGGAGCAAUCCGCUUUGAGAUGGCCUCGCGUCCGAUUAGCUAGUUGGUGAGGUAACGGCCCACCAAGGCGACGAUCGGUAGCCGGACUGAGAGGUUGAACGGCCACAUUGGGACUGAGACACGGCCCAGACUCCUACGGGAGGCAGCAGUGGGGAAUAUUGCACAAUGGGGGAAACCUUGAUGCAGCGACGCCGCGUGGAGGAAGAAGGUCUUCGGAUUGUAAACUCCUGUUGCUGAGGAAGAUAAUGACGGUACUCAACAAGGAAGUGACGGCUAACUACGUG
RNAcentral lists this ribosomal RNA (478 nucleotides) under uncultured bacterium. Its description in RNAcentral is "bacterial SSU rRNA". It matches the Rfam family "Bacterial small subunit ribosomal RNA", at positions 30 to 507 of the family's 1533-position model. The record is from RNAcentral.